AGGAUUAACGCUGGCGGCGUGCAUGAAACAUGCAAGUCGAGCGCGGUGUGAUGAGGGGUAACCCAAUUCACAUCUAGCGGCGAACGGGUGAGUAACACGUGAGCAACCUACCUUUGAGUUGGGGAUAGCCCUGGGAAACCAGGAUUAAUACCCGAUGUGGUCACAACAGGACAUCCUGAUGUGAGUAAAGGCGUAAGCCGCUCAAUGACGGGCUCGCGGCCUAUUAGCUUGUUGGUGGGGUAACGGCCUACCAAGGCGAUGAUGGGUAGCUGGUCUGAGAGGACGAUCAGCCACACUGGGACUGAGACACGGCCCAGACUCCUACGGGAGGCAGCAGUUAGGAAUUUUCCGCAAUGGGCGAAAGCCUGACGGAGCAACGCCGCGUGAGUGAUGAAGACCUUCGGGUUGUAAGCUCUGUCGGAGGGGAAGAACACAAUGACGGUACCCUCCAAGAAAGCCCCGGCUAACUACGCGCCAGCAGCCGCGGUAA
This 490-nucleotide ribosomal RNA is filed under the name uncultured bacterium. RNAcentral's name for it is "SSU rRNA". It matches the Rfam family "Bacterial small subunit ribosomal RNA", at positions 26 to 523 of the family's 1533-position model. The record is from RNAcentral.